CUACGGGGUGCUGCAGUCGCGAAUAUUCGGCAAUGGGCGAAAGCCUGACCGAGCGACGCCGCGUGUAUGAUGAAGCCCUUCGGGGCGUAAAAUACUUUUCUCUGGGAAGAACUAAUGACGGUACCAGAGGAAUAAGGGGCUGCUAACUUCGUGCCAGCAGCAGCGGUAAUACGAAGGCCCCAAGCGUUAUCCGGAUUUAUUGGGCGUAAAGGGUCCGUAGGCGGCCCGGCGCAUCUCUUGUUAAAUCUAUCGGCUUAACCGAUAGGCCGCAAGAGAGAUGGCCGAGCUAGAGACCGGAAGAGGCAAGCGGAAUUGCUGGUGUAGGGGUUAAAUCCGUUAAUAUCAGCAAGAACACCAAAUGCGUAGGCAGCUUGCUAGGACGGUUCUGACGCUCAGGGACGAAAGCGUGGGUAGCGAAUGGGAUUAGAUACCCUCGUAGUC
This 441-nucleotide ribosomal RNA is filed under the name uncultured bacterium. RNAcentral describes it as "partial 16S ribosomal RNA". It matches the Rfam family "Bacterial small subunit ribosomal RNA", at positions 339 to 795 of the family's 1533-position model. The record is from RNAcentral.